AGAACGAACGCUGGCGGCAUGCCUAACACAUGCAAGUCGAACGAACUCUUCGGAGUUAGUGGCGCACGGGUGCGUAACGCGUGGGAAUCUGCCCUUGGGUACGGAAUAACUCAGAGAAAUUUGUGCUAAUACCGUAUAAUGACUUCGGUCCAAAGAUUUAUCGCCCAAGGAUGAGCCCGCGUGAGAUUAGCUAGUUGGUGAGGUAAAAGCUCACCAAGGCGACGAUCUCUAGCUGGUCUGAGAGGGUGACCGGCCACACUGGGACUGAGACACGGCCCAGACUCCUACGGGAGGCAGCAGUGGGGAAUAUUGGACAAUGGGCGGAAGCCUGAUCCAGCAACGCCGCGUGAGGGAUGGACGGCCUUCGGGUUGUAAACCUCUUUCAGCAGGGAAGAAGCGAAAGUGACGGUACCUGCAGAAGAAGCACCGGCUAACUACGUGCCAGCAGCCGC
This 452-nucleotide ribosomal RNA is filed under the name uncultured bacterium. Its description in RNAcentral is "SSU rRNA". It matches the Rfam family "Bacterial small subunit ribosomal RNA", at positions 26 to 518 of the family's 1533-position model. The record is from RNAcentral.